Molecule: ribosomal RNA, 77 nt
Filed under: Citrobacter freundii
Lineage: Bacteria; Pseudomonadati; Pseudomonadota; Gammaproteobacteria; Enterobacterales; Enterobacteriaceae
Also listed under: 1 other name
Description: partial 23S ribosomal RNA
Source: RNAcentral
UCGGGUGUGUAAGUGUAGCGAUACAUUGAGCUAACCGAUACUAAUGAACCGUGAGGCUUAACCUUACAACGCCGAAG